RNAcentral lists this ribosomal RNA (177 nucleotides) under Triticum aestivum (bread wheat). RNAcentral describes it as "partial small subunit ribosomal RNA". Lineage: Eukaryota; Viridiplantae; Streptophyta; Magnoliopsida; Poales; Poaceae. The record is from RNAcentral.
AUGGAUAUGCAGGAAGGGGUGCUCCUAGGUGUGUGUAGGGGGUGUGUUUGUUCGCGAGAAUGAAUUCCUCGUCAAGUCAGGGGGGGUGUGGACACACUUGCGCGAAUUCGAGUAACGGCUACAAGGGAUAAAAAUAAAGGAAACUGUACCCGACCAGGGAUGGACGUAAACUUGUAA